Molecule: non-coding RNA, 84 nt
Organism: Necator americanus (New World hookworm)
Lineage: Eukaryota; Metazoa; Nematoda; Chromadorea; Rhabditida; Ancylostomatidae
Source: Rfam
GGUCCAUUGGCGCAGCUGGUUAGCGAGUGGUACUUAUAAGCAUGAGCAAUGCCGAGGCCGGGAGUUCGAUCCUCCCAUGGAGCA